GGAGUAUUUUAAUGAUGUCACAAUGUAGAAUGUUUUAACAUUGUAGAAGGAGUAUUUUAAUGAUGUCACAAUGUAGAAUGUUUUAACAUUGUAGAAGGAGUAUUUUAAUGAUGUCACAAUGUAGAACACUAAACGUUUGCCCCCUGUUCAAUUGAUUUCUGCAUGAUAUGGAUAUUAAGCCUCAGGGGGAAAAUCCAGGCUCUGAAUUGAAAGAGUGAUAUUUAUAUGAUAUAACAGAAAAUGACUAACACAAAAAGAGCUGUGUUACACUUACAGCAUUGGUGACCCACUUGAAUCAAAAUGUAGCUAGAUGUUUUCUACAAGUUGUCCUCUAACCAGUGAUGUACACAUUAUUCACAGAUUCCGUGUGGUUUUUGAG
Molecule: long non-coding RNA, 379 nt
Organism: Oncorhynchus gorbuscha (pink salmon)
Lineage: Eukaryota; Metazoa; Chordata; Actinopteri; Salmoniformes; Salmonidae
Exons: 3
Source: RefSeq, a predicted model, not a curated record